Long non-coding RNA from Etheostoma cragini (Arkansas darter), 114 nucleotides. RefSeq lists it as uncharacterized. The transcript is spliced from 2 exons. The record is from RefSeq and is a predicted model, not a curated record. NCBI's taxonomy places the organism in Eukaryota, Metazoa, Chordata, Actinopteri, Perciformes, Percidae.
ACACACACACACACACACACACACACACACACACACACACACAGUAUAUAUAGACGGUUAAUGUUAUCAGUGACACCUGUGCUUCACUUUCAGUAAGUCAAAAUGUCUGCUGGG